UUUUUAAAUGGUUGAGCUUAUCAAG
This 25-nucleotide non-coding RNA is filed under the name Rattus norvegicus (Norway rat). Lineage: Eukaryota; Metazoa; Chordata; Mammalia; Rodentia; Muridae. The record is from RNAcentral.